RNAcentral lists this ribosomal RNA (261 nucleotides) under uncultured prokaryote. RNAcentral's name for it is "partial 16S ribosomal RNA". It matches the Rfam family "Bacterial small subunit ribosomal RNA", at positions 524 to 784 of the family's 1533-position model. The record is from RNAcentral.
UACGGAGGAUCCGAGCGUUAUCCGGAUUUAUUGGGUUUAAAGGGUGCGCAGGCGGGAGAUUAAGUCGGCGGUGAAAUUUUGCAGCUCAACUGUAAAAGUGCCUUCGAAACUGGUUUCCUUGAGUGUAGAUGAAGUAGGCGGAAUUUGUAGUGUAGCGGUGAAAUGCAUAGAGAUUGCACAGAAGGCCGAUUGCGAAGGCAGCUUACUGAACCAUAACUGACGCUCAUGCACGAAAGCGUGGGGAUCAAACAGGAUUAGAUA